RNAcentral lists this ribosomal RNA (439 nucleotides) under uncultured bacterium. RNAcentral's name for it is "bacterial SSU rRNA". It matches the Rfam family "Bacterial small subunit ribosomal RNA", at positions 69 to 479 of the family's 1533-position model. The record is from RNAcentral.
GACAUGGGAAGCUUGCUUCCUAUGAAAUCGAGUGGCAAACGGGUGAGUAACGCGUAAACAACCUGCCCUUCGGAUGGGGAUAACAGCCGGAAACGGCUGCUAAUACCGAAUACGAUCUUUUCGUCGCAUGACGGAAAGAAGAAAGGAUGGCCUCUAUACAAAGCUAUCGCCGAAGGAGGGGUUUGCGUCUGAUUAGCUGGUUGGAGGGGUAACGGCCCAACAAGGCGAUGAUCAGUAGCCGGUCUGAGAGGAUGAACGGCCACAUUGGGACUGAGACACGGCCCAGACUCCUACGGGAGGCAGCAGUGGGGAAUCUUCCGCAAUGGACGAAAGUCUGACGGAGCAACGCCGCGUGAGUGAAGAAGGUCUUCGGAUUGUAAAGCUCUGUUAUACGGGACGAAAGAGACGGAUGCCAACAGUAUCCGUCCGUGACGGUACC